This 439-nucleotide ribosomal RNA is filed under the name uncultured bacterium. RNAcentral describes it as "partial 16S ribosomal RNA". It matches the Rfam family "Bacterial small subunit ribosomal RNA", at positions 339 to 795 of the family's 1533-position model. The record is from RNAcentral.
CUACGGGGGGCUCCAGUGGGGAAUAUUGCACAAUGGGGGAAACCCUGAUGCAGCAACGCCGCGUGGAGGAUGACACAUUUCGGUGCGUAAACUCCUUUUAUAGGUCAAGAUAAUGACGGUAGCCUAUGAAUAAGCGCCCGCUAACUCCGUGCCAGCAGCCGCGGUAAUACGGAGGGCGCAAGCGUUACUCGGAAUCACUGGGCGUAAAGAGCAUGUAGGCGGGUUAAUAAGUCAGAAGUGAAAUCCAAUAGCUCAACUAUUGAACUGCUUUUGAAACUGUUAACCUAGAGUGUGGGAGAGGUAGAUGGAAUUUCUGGUGUAGGGGUAAAAUCCGUAGAGAUCAGAAGGAAUACCGAUUGCGAAGGCGAUCUACUGGAACAUUACUGACGCUGAGAUGCGAAAGCGUGGGGAGCAAACAGGAUUAGAUACCCUCGUAGUC